Molecule: unclassified non-coding RNA, 1267 nt
Filed under: Yarrowia lipolytica
Lineage: Eukaryota; Fungi; Ascomycota; Dipodascomycetes; Dipodascales
Source: RNAcentral
GAUAAGUGGCAAUCUGAUAACCGGCCGAUAGGAGAAUGUGGAGAGCGGGGAGGAGAAGGGUGAAGGUGUCACGUGGAGAUAACGUCACGUGAAGGAGCACGGACUGUGUCUUGAGUGUUUACUGGCUGUCACAGACACUGCUUUGUCCGACGCUUGACCACUUGGAGAUGUAUCACCGGUACUCACGCUGACUCCUACAAUUGUCCAUGCAGGACAAGAACCAGUUCAACAAGACCCAGGGAUACAUUGAGUACAUCUCCUGUUUGAAGGGUCUGCCCAGGCCGGCCCUAACAAGGGAUACUUCAUCCAGCCCACCGUUUUCACCGACGUGAACAACGAUAUGUCCAUUGUGCGAGACGAGAUUUUCGGCCCCAUUCUGACUAUCACCAAGUUCAACUCCGUUGACAAGUACCCACACCACUGAUACCAACAAGGCCCACAUGUCGCUGAGAACAUUGUCUCUGGUACUAUGUCGGUCAACUGCUACAAGGCCUUCCACGAGGCCGUUCCCUUUGGAGGAUCCAGGAGUCAGAACGCGCGCUAUCAACGACCAACAGUCGGACUUGUCCUUGAUAGAUGUAUACGGUAUUGUAUUUCGACAAACGGCAGAAGCACGUGUGUUCAGACAACAGUCUCUACGGAGUUAGUGCUUUAGAUCGGAUGGCUAUCUGAAGAGGGUGAUAUUACGAUAGGAAAGAUGGAGCAGAUUACCCACGUCCACACGUUUCAACGCACCCCAAAGUACAUACUCUCGAACUGGUUGCUCGGUCGAGACGGAGUGCCAUGUGCACACAUACUGAGACCCAUAGACAGCAUAGAGGCAUAGAGAGAUGUGGGCGUACAGCCGUAGAAACAUCUGUCCAUCAUUCACCGGUGCUAUUCCAGUCUUCUUGGACUUGCCAUGUUCAGUACAAGUACAUCUUCCACAUCAGGACAUGUCAAUGGAAGAUGAAAGAAAACCACAUAGAUCAGAAGAAGAAGAGUCAAUGUAGCCAGAGAGUCAAUCAAUGCAUUCAUGAACCCGUUUCUGAUCAUAUGCUCAUCUUUCAAUUCAAAUUCCAACCGUUUAUCCAAAUAUAAAUACCACCUCGACCCCCUCAACAGGUAGACAUAACCAACACCACCAGCACCACCACCAGCACCACUACCAGCACCACCACCAGCACCACUACCAGCACCACUACUACAAUGAUCAAACUGACGCUGACUGAGGAGCAGUUCGUCCGUCUAUUAAGACCCGACAGGAUCCCGAUUAAUCCACACGCGU